GCCCGGGAGGCCCUCGCGGAGGGCGGGGGCCUGGGCGGCAGGGGCGCGGGUCCCGCCGCAGCGGCCGGGAGGCCGGCGCUCUCUUCGCCCUCCUUCCUCCUCCGCCCCUUCCACGUGGGGCCGGGCGGCCCGCCACGUGGGGGGACGCGAGCCCGGGCGGGCCUGGGCGCGGCGCCCCGGGGUGGCCCUAGCCCCAUCGAGCCCCCGCCAGGCCCGCGGCGCCGAGCUGCCCCCUUCCCGGCCCCGCGGCUCCAACUUCCUCCUGGGCCCCCGCGCCGGCCGCUUCUGCCUUCUCAGGCCCGCGGGGUCAGGCGCGGGCCGGCCACAGGGGGCACUUGCGCACCCCAAAUUCGGAUCCCGGAGACGGUGCCCGCGCCUUGCCCGCGAGGCGGCGAUGGCUGUGGGUGCGCGAGGAGGGGGCCCUAUGUGCUGGAACUUGCAGCGGUUGUGUUCCCUACAAAAAGCAAAACAUUUUUUACACAUUAAAAAAAAAUGUUCCUUCCUGUUGCCUGGAUCUCGCUGGGGCUAUUUUUAAAGCCUUGCCUUGAGUAGGAGCUCUGGGCCUCGCGGGACGGAAGCGCUGCGGCCUGGGGGGCCUGGAAGCCGGGGUCCUGGGCUGGCGCAGCGCUCUUCCGCGGCCCCGACCCCGCGCCGCCCCGACGCCCGGCGGUUAGAGUCUGGACACCAAACCUGGGGAGCCAGGCCGAACGCCGGCCGCACCUGGACGAAAUUCCAUGCCGAUGACCCGCAGCGUUGGAGCCCGGUUUGCGGAAGGGAGUCAGCGUCUGCGGGGUUUUAAAACUCCAUUGAAGACCUGGUGAACGUGAUGGCAGCUAGCAUUUCACACCCGCUCGCCCAGGUAAUUCAGUUGCUAAGAUGUCCGAAGCCUGUUUUCAACCUGGCCCCAGCAGGCCCUGGUCAGCUCUCCUACGUUGCUGUCGAGUCUGCAGUUGUGCCGGCAAACGCUCAAAUGUGCAUUCCCGGUUGCCUCCAUCUCCUGGAGACCCUCUAUCCCCACAAAACAUCUUCAGGGCUCUCUUCUCCGCAGGCGUUUUGCCUCCAGGUCAUGGCGCCUAAGACAGUUCUUGGUUAUAAACUGACCCUGCCCACCCCCAGGCUCCUGGACUACCAGUAUGUGCUUUUCUGUGUUUCUUAGGCAUAAACUAUAAUAACCAUAAAUAAAGAUUUUCUGCUUCCUUAUUUCACAAAUGAUCUUUGGUUCUGAGUGGCCCUCUGUUCUCACCUGGAAACCACCGAAAGUCAGCUGUUUUUCCAUAUCACUCCUUCAGUUUUCAUGUCUACUAUGAAUUCGACCUAACUUAGAAAAUACUAUGCUCUUUGUUGUGAGAAUGUUAAAAAGAAGGCAUCCUCAGAGCCAAAAAUUAUUUCUCACUUCUACCUGACACCUUGCAUUUUAAAAUAAUAAGCCCAUUUGCCCCCAAUAUGUGAAUUAUUUCAAACUCCAGUUGUUUUAGAAAAAAAAAAAGUUCCAAACAGCAACAAAAACCUUCUUCCAAUUCAAAAAUGGGCAAAGAUUUGAAUAGAUUUCUCAAAGGAAGAUGUGCAAAUGACCAAUAAGCACAUGAAAAGAUGCUCAGCAUCACUAGUCAUUAGGGAAAUGCACGUCAAAAUCACAGUAAGAUAGCACUUCACGUCCAGUGGGAUGGCUAUUAUCAAAAAGACAGAAAAUAACAAGUGUUGGUAAGGAUGUGGAGAAAUCAGAAAACUUGUACACUGCUCUUGGGUAUGUCAAAUGGUGCAGCCACUGUAGAGAACAGUUUGAUAGUUGCACAAAGAGUAACACAGAACUGCUAUAUGAUCCAGCAAUUCCAAUUCCAGGUAUAUACAGUACACAAAAGAAUGGCAAGCAGGAUCGCCAAUAAGUACUUAUACACCCACGUUGGUAGCAUCGUUCGCAAGAGCCAAAAGGCGGAAACAACCCAAAUGUCCAUCAAAGGAUGAAUGGAUUAAACAAAUGUGGUACAUGUAUACAAUGGAAUAUUAUUCAGUCUUAAAAAGAAAGGAAAUUCUGACACAUGCUACAACGUGGCUGAACCUUGAGGACAUUAUGCUGAGUGAAAACAGGCACAAGAGGAUAACUACUGUAUGAUUCCACUUAUUUGAGAUAUCUGGAGUAGACAAAUUCAUGGAGAUCAGAAAGUAGAAUGGACAGUACCAAGGGCUGGGGGAGGGGAGUAGUUAUUGUUUCAUGGGCAUGGAGUUUCCAUUUGGAGUGAUGAAGAAGUUCUGGAAGUGGAUGAUGGUGACGGGUUGCGCGACAUUGCAAGUGUGCUUAAUGCCACAAAACUGUACACUUAAAAAUGGAUAAAAUGGUAAAUUUUAUGUUAUGUAUAUUUUAC
This is a long non-coding RNA of Equus asinus (donkey), 2360 nucleotides long. The record is from Ensembl. Lineage: Eukaryota; Metazoa; Chordata; Mammalia; Perissodactyla; Equidae.